UACGAAGGGUGCAAGCGUUACUCGGAAUUACUGGGCGUAAAGCGUGCGCAGGCGGUUAUGUAAGACAGUUGUGAAAUCCCCGGGCUCAACCUGGGAACUGCAUCUGUGACUGCAUAGCUAGAGUACGGUAGAGGGGGAUGGAAUUCCGCGUGUAGCAGUGAAAUGCGUAGAUAUGCGGAGGAACACCGAUGGCGAAGGCAGCCCCCUGGGCUGAGAUUGACGCUCAGGCACGAAAGCGUGGGGAGCAAACAGG
Molecule: ribosomal RNA, 253 nt
Filed under: uncultured bacterium
Lineage: Bacteria
Description: partial 16S ribosomal RNA
Rfam family: Bacterial small subunit ribosomal RNA
Source: RNAcentral